This 502-nucleotide ribosomal RNA is filed under the name uncultured bacterium. RNAcentral describes it as "bacterial SSU rRNA". It matches the Rfam family "Bacterial small subunit ribosomal RNA", at positions 1008 to 1509 of the family's 1533-position model. The record is from RNAcentral.
GCUUUAGUGCCUUCGGGAACUCUGAGACAGGUGCUGCAUGGCUGUCGUCAGCUCGUGUUGUGAAAUGUUGGGUUAAGUCCCGCAACGAGCGCAACCCUUAUCCUUUGUUGCCAGCACGUAAUGGUGGGAACUCAAAGGAGACUGCCGGUGAUAAACCGGAGGAAGGUGGGGAUGACGUCAAGUCAUCAUGGCCCUUACGAGUAGGGCUACACACGUGCUACAAUGGCGCAUACAAAGAGAAGCGACCUCGCGAGAGCAAGCGGACCUCAUAAAGUGCGUCGUAGUCCGGAUUGGAGUCUGCAACUCGACUCCAUGAAGUCGGAAUCGCUAGUAAUCGUAAAUCAGAAUGUUACGGUGAAUACGUUCCCGGGCCUUGUACACACCGCCCGUCACACCAUGGGAGUGGGUUGCAAAAGAAGUAGAUAGCUUAACCUUCGGGAGGGCGUUUACCACUUUGUGAUUCAUGACUGGGGUGAAGUCGUAACAAGGUAAGCGUAGUGCU